GAUGAACGCUGGCGGCGUGCCUAAUACAUGCAAGUCGAGCGAACGGACGAGAAGCUUGCUUCUCUGAUGUUAGCGGCGGACGGGUGAGUAACACGUGGAUCACCUACCUAUAAGACUGGGAUAACUUCGGGAAACCGGAGAUAAUACCGGAUCAUAUUUUGAACCGCAUGGUUCAAAAGUGAAAGACGGUCUUGCUGUCACUUAUAGAUGGAUCCGCGCUGCUUUGGCGAGUUGGUAAGGUAACGGCUUACCAAGGCAACGACGCAUAGCCGACCUGAGAGUGAGAUCGGCCACUCUAGAACUGAGACGCGGCCCAGACCUCUACGAGGGGCAGGAGGAGGGUAUCGGCCGAAAGGCGCAAACGUCUGACAGAGCAACGCCGCGUGAGAGAUGAAGGUCUUCGGUGCGUAAAACUCUGUUAGUAGGGAAAAACAUAUGUGUAAGUAACUGGGCGUAUCGACACGGCACCUAAACAGAAAGCCGCGGCUCACCGCG
RNAcentral lists this ribosomal RNA (495 nucleotides) under uncultured bacterium. RNAcentral's name for it is "partial 16S ribosomal RNA". It matches the Rfam family "Bacterial small subunit ribosomal RNA", at positions 28 to 505 of the family's 1533-position model. The record is from RNAcentral.